GCCUGAGCCUGAGUCCAGCCGAGCCAAGCCUAGUGGAGAAGACCUGGGCCAAGCUGAUACUAUGAAGGACAGUUGAGCCCAGCAGUUGAAAUCAGGUGACACAACACAGACUGUUCCAGCUUUUGGGAGACCAAGAUGUUUAUUAUCAGCUUGGGGUCUCAGCCCUCUUGGCGCCAGAGAUGACCAGAUAACCCCCUGCCGGCCAGACCUGGGUUAUCUCAUCCAUAUGCACCAGCUGAGGUGUUGCCACAAGCAUAUUCAACUAAGCUUAACAAUUUAAUUCUGAUGAUGUCAUCAAGUACUUGCAUAUCAGGUGCUGUGAGCCCCAACACCAGCAAGGCUAUCCCCGUGCUCUCAGUGUGUGGAAAUACUGGUGCAUGACCAAAGGACUAAGAGAUUACAUGGACAUCACUAAGAUCCCAGCAGUGAAGGGAUCAGGACAUCAUACUGACAUUCCUGAAGCCCUGCCUCUGAGUUUAUCACUGGAAUAAGGUACAAAGGAGCAUGGGGGAGCAUUUCCAUUACUAUAAAUUGAUUUUUUUUUUUUUUUUUUUUUGGUGAUUGCUCUAGUAAUGCUUAGCUGAAAGGAAGAUCAGUACCAAAGGCUGAAUGAACAGUUAUUUGUGCCUAUUAAUGACUUCCUGGGCUUAGGAACCUGUCUUAUGUCAAGACACUGCUGUGUCAGCUGAUGAGGAAACCCAUCAAAAAAAGAUGGUCUAUCCAAACUGACAGGUUAAGCAGGCUUGUUUGCUGACAGAGUAAACUGACCAGUUCAAGGUAUUAAAUUGAAAGGGAUGAAUCUGACAACGCUGAUCUGUGUGUGAGCAGGAGACUGGGACAUAUGCACAGGCCCAGCUCAGAGGGAGACGUCAGCCUUUACAAACCUCAAAGUCUAGGGAAGUAGGCUAUGCUUAGAAUGGAGUAGCUU
This 928-nucleotide long non-coding RNA is filed under the name Taeniopygia guttata (zebra finch). Its description in RNAcentral is "lncRNA (ENSTGUG00000028049.1)". The record is from RNAcentral. Lineage: Eukaryota; Metazoa; Chordata; Aves; Passeriformes; Estrildidae.